CGAACGCUGGCGGCGUGCUUAACACAUGCAAGUCGAACGGAAAGGCCCUGCUUUUGUGGGGUGCUCGAGUGGCGAACGGGUGAGUAACACGUGAGUAACCUGCCCUUGACUUUGGGGUAACUUCAGGAAACUGGGGCUAAUACCGGAUAGGAGCUCCUGCUGCAUGGUGGGGGUUGGAAAGUUUCGGCGGUUGGGGAUGGACUCGCGGCUUAUCAGCUUGUUGGUGGGGUAGUGGCUUACCAAGGCUUUGACGGGUAGCCGGCCUGAGAGGGUGACCGGCCACAUUGGGACUGAGAUACGGCCCAGACUCCUACGGGAGGCAGCAGUGGGGAAUAUUGCACAAUGGGCGGAAGCCUGAUGCAGCAACGCCGCGUGCGGGAUGACGGCCUUCGGGUUGUAAACCGCUUUCGCCUGUGACGAAGCGUGAGUGACGGUAAUGGGUAAAGAAGCACCGGCUAACUACGUG
RNAcentral lists this ribosomal RNA (466 nucleotides) under uncultured bacterium. RNAcentral describes it as "partial 16S ribosomal RNA". It matches the Rfam family "Bacterial small subunit ribosomal RNA", at positions 30 to 507 of the family's 1533-position model. The record is from RNAcentral.